This 21081-nucleotide long non-coding RNA is filed under the name Homo sapiens (human). Its description in RNAcentral is "non-protein coding lnc-TRABD2A-5:1". Lineage: Eukaryota; Metazoa; Chordata; Mammalia; Primates; Hominidae. The record is from RNAcentral.
CUCUCGCUGCCCUCGCCGGGCCCAGCCGCCCGGAGGCCCCGCGGCCGGCGGUCGCGACGGGGGCGACGCGGCGACGGCGGCUCGGGGCGCGGCGCUUGCCCGCGCUAGCCAGCAGGCCGCGAUCGGGCGCCCGUGCCCAGCCUCGGCCUGGCCGCCGCCGCCGCCGCCGCGCCGCGCGUAGGGAGGAAGAGGAAAUGCCCGGCGCCGGCUCCCGCUGCUCACCGGCGCGGCCCGAGGGGCGCCCGCCCGCCACGCCGCCCCUAGCCCCGCCUGGGGCGGGCCUAGGCCGGGCUAUAGGGGCCAGGGCCUUGGGCUGCGCCGGCCGCGGGAGGUGGGUGCUUCUCGGCGGCGAGCUGCGACUCGGAGAGACUCCUGUCCGCAGGUGCAUGGCUUCCGGGCGGGCCUCGGGCAGCGAGCUCCAGCCCCACUGAGAGGCCGCGGACCGCCUGGGGACUUGUGUUUGUGUGUAUUUUAAGCCAACAGCCCAGAAAGGGAAGGCGACUGGCCCCCGGUCUUCGCCAGUGUUUCCCGGCCGGGUUACUGGUGGUCAGGAGGGAAGCCAGGAGGCUGCCGGGCUCCGAGGCCGAUUCCUUGCGAACCAUCUCCGUUAAAGACUCCGCGCCGGGCAGCCCGGGAGUCCGGCGGUACCCGCGCAAACUUUGUCCCAGCGCCUUGGCUCACCGUGAAUGCCCUGCCUUGAAAAUUUGGAGUUUUUUGUUUCCUGAAAGUGGUCUGCUUUUCCGAUUUUAUCUGUGUUUUCCAUUUUUACCUUCUUAUUGUCAAUUUGUUUUCAGGCAUUAUUAAUUCAACAAAUCUUUGUACUGCCCCUUACCACGUGUCGAUGGUUCCGUGGUUUGGUGGAAAUAGAUCGCGCUUUGAAGUCAAGACGGAUCGGCCAUGGAAUUUUGGCUCUGAGAUCCUCUGUGUAACCGUGGAUGAGCUACAAGGCCUGCUGAGCCUCCAUUUGUCUGGUUUUUGUGGUUGUUUUAAUUUAUCUUUUUCCAUUUGAAGUUGUGGGUUUUGCAUAAAAUUGAACUGUUACCAGGCUAAGUCAACUGAAAUUGGAAUCUGGGGUACUGCUUGCUUUGAGGUUACUCUUAUACUGUCCACCAUUUGCUGGCUGUGUGAUCUCUAAACCUCUCUGUGCCCUGACUUUUCUAUCUUUAAAAUGGACGUAACAACAGAGGUUUAAUAAUAAGAGGUUUGGAGGUUAAGUGCUAAAAUGCAUAUAAAAUACCUAGCACAGGACACAGUAAAAAGAUUGUUACCGUAUUUCAUUGAAUCUGGUUUUAAGACACUUCCUGAUUUCAAAGAAACUAAAAGCUCAUCUUGAAGUCCAGGAAGUAGGUUUUGGGUCACUCAGAACUCCCAAGGGACUGUAUUUGGUAGUAACUAGUGAUAAACAAACUGGAGUUUAAAUGAGGACUUUGUCACCAGAGAUAUUUUUAUUGCCUGUAUGGAGCUCCUGCACAAAUUUAUUCCAUUUCUCUUGUAGAAAGAGAUCCAACCUGGCCGUAAAUGGGGUGUGGUGGAGUAGAAAGAAGGGUAUUAAGUAAAGCUCUGUGUCGAUGCCUUUCUGAGCAUUUUACGGUGUUGGCAUAUGUGAUCCUGGGUAUCAGGAGCCUCAAUUUCUUGGGCUGUAAAAAUGGGGAGAACAACGCUGAUCCCAUUGUCUCCUGAUGGGUAAGUGAUGUCUAUAAAUAAAUUGUAUAGAGAUUAAGGCAUUAUCAGUGCUGUAGUCUGAUAAAAUGGUGGAGCAGAUAGGAAAGCCUACAACAGUACUGAACUGCAGGAGGGACUAAGAGUAAAUAUAGAGAUUUCAUUUGCUUGGUUUUGCAGAGGGUUAGCUAACUAAACAGAUAACUUUGUUUUCGACAGUUACUUCAUUUUUUUCAGUCAGGCAAGAGUAAGGAGAGAGUAACUAAACCAUUUUUUUUCCUCUUUAAAUAAGAGUAAGCAGAAAUAUUAUGGUUAUUUGGGGUUUUCAUGACCUUCAUUCACUUAGCGGUCAGGCUGUUCAAUUUAAAACAACCUUUUGCUUGCUGCCCUGCCAUAUGGGAAAUUUCAUUUCCAAAAAAAGGAUUAAUUUCCAGCCUGGGCGAAACCCUAUCUCUACGGAAAAUAUAAAAAUUAGCGGCCAGGAGCAGUGGCUCAUACCUGUAAUCCCAGCACUUUGGGAGGCCGAGGCAGGUGGAUCACGAGGUCAGGAGUUCAAGAUCAGCCUGGCCAAGAUGGUGAAACCCCAUCUCUACUAAAAAUACAAAAAUUAGCCUGAUGUGGUGGCACGCGCCUGUAAUCCCAGCUACUUGGGAGGCUGAGGCAGAGAACUGCUUGAACCUGGGAGCAUUCCAGCCUGGAUGACAGAGUGAGACUCCGUCUCAAAAAAAAAAAAAAAAUUAGCUGGGCGUGGUGGCAUCCGCCUUUGGUCCCAAAUACUCAGGAGGCUGAGGUGGGAGGAUUGCUUGAGCCCAGGAGGUCGAGUCUGCAGUGAGCCGUGAUUGUACCACCACAUCCUAGUCUGAGUGACAGUGUGACACUCUGUCUCAAAAAAGAAAAGAAGAUCAAGAAGGAUUAAUUUAAAUCCUUAUACCAAAUUGUCUACCAAAUGAUUUUUGUUCCACUCCAGAAAUGUUUUCCUCCAGUCCCUUCCUCUCUCUGCACCCUCCUGAGUUCUCCUUUCUUCUGUGGACAACUGUAACUAAUGCGUGUUUUUGCUAGGCUGACCCUUCUUUCAUACUAUGGCCCAAUUAUGUUUUUUCAAAUAAGCUAAUGGAUGUAAGCACUGGUGAAAUCUGAAUAAGGUCUGUAGUCUACUUGAUAGUAUUGUACCAAUGUCAGUUUCCUGGCUUUUGAUAUUUUUCCAUAGCUUUGUAAGAUGUUCCCAUUUGAGAAAGUGUACCUGGGCCCUCUUUGCAACUACCUAUGGGUAAAUGAUUAUUUCAAAGUAAAAAAUUAAAGUAUAGGGACAGAAAUUAGAUCAAUGGUUACUGGCAACUGGAGCUGGGGAAGGGUGGACUGAUCACACUUUUUGAGAUGAUGAGAAUAUUCUCUAACUUGAUUGUGGUAUUUACAUUACUGGAUGACUCUGUGAAUCUGUCAAAACUCAUAGAACUAUACACCUAAAAGGGUGGUUUUUUUUUUUUUUUUUUUUUUUAGAUGAAGUCUCGCUCUUGUCCCCCAGGCUGGAGUGCAAUGGUGUGAUCUCGGCUCAUUGCAACCUCCGCCUCCCGGAUUCAAGCGAUUCUCCUGCCUCAGCCUCCCAAGUAGCUGGGAUUACAGGUGCAUACCACCACGCCCGGCUAAUUUUUUGUAUUUUAAGUAGAGGCGGGGUUUCACCAUGUUGGCCAGGCUGGUCUCGAACUCCUGACCUCAAGUGAUCUACCCGCCUCGGCCACCCAAAGUGCUGGGAUUACAGGCGUGAGCCUCCGCACCCAGCCAAAGGGUGGUUUUUACUUCUAUAUAAAUUAUACUUCAGUAAACCUGAAUUAAGAUAAGGAAAGCAAGCUCUUGGCCGGGUGCAGUGGCUCACGCCUGUAACCCCAGCACUUUGGGAGGCGGAGAUGGGCGGAUCACGAGGUCAAGAGAUCGAGAGCAUCCUGGCUAAAUGGUGAAACCCUGUCUCUACUAAAAAUACAAAAAAAUUAGCCAGGCGUGGUGGUGGGCAUCUGUAGUCCCAGCUACUUGGGAGGCUGAGGCAGGAGAAUGGCGUGAACCCGGGAGGCGGAGCUUGCAGUGAGCCGAGAUCGCGUCCAGACCUGGGUGACAGAGCGAGACUCCCUCUCAAAAAAAAAAGAAAAGCAAGCUCUCAUCACCCCAGCCUCCUGGGGCUUGUAGGAUGAAAUGUAACUUUAAGGCCCAACGUGCUUUUCCAGCAUACGGACUCUUCCUGCCAGCGCACCCUGGGCUUCCUUGUACUGUAUUAAUUCCUGCCCCUGUGCCUUUGUGCAUACUCUUCCUUCUGCUUAGGUGGAGCAUAGGAAAGUAAAGUCAAAAUUCGGGUUCCCUGUACUCCUGUAAGCCUUCCCUGCCUCCCUUAGGCAAACCAGUAAUUUCCUAACUUCCUCCUCUGCUCACUCAUGUCGUGCUGUAAUUUUUAAUUCGUUUUCAUCUUUUUUCUCAACUAGACUCCUCAAAGGCAGCGACCACAUUGUUCUUUGUCUCUGGGAUCCAGUAGUGUUGAAUGAGUGAGUGAAUGAACAAAUUAUUUAUUUAUUUAUUUAUUUAUUUAUUUUUUGAGACAGAGCCUCUCUCUGUCGCACAGGCAGGAGUGCAGUGGUGCGAUCUCGGCUCACUGCAACCUCUGCCUCCCGGGUUCAAGUGAUUCUCCUGCCUCAGCCUCCUGAGUAGCUGGGACUACAGGAGGGUGCCAUGACGCCUGGCUAAUUUUUGUAUAUUUAGUAGAGACGGGGUUUCACCAUGUUGCCCAGGCUGGUCUCAAACUGCUGGCCUCAGGUGAUCCACCCACCUCAGCCUCCCAAAGUCCUGGGAUUACAGCCAUGAGCCACCAGGCCCGGCUGUGAAUGAUGUAGAGCUGAAAGAAAAACUAAUGGUUCUCAAAGUGCGGUCCAAGGUCCCCAAGAGGUGAGGUGAGGUGCUAGGAUUUUCAUGCUUUCAGCAAACAGCACAUCCUAACAGAUUGAAUGCAGAAGAAGAGAAUCCAGCUGUCUUCAUUUAAGCCAAACAUUAAAGAGAUCUGAAAAACAAUAUCGUACUUCCACAUUUUUUGGGAAAAAAUAAGUUAUUUUUCUUUAAAAUGUGUUCUGUUACUAGAUAGUGGGUUUAUUACUGUUUUUAAGUGACUACGUUUUUGUUUGUUUGUUUGUUUGUUUGAGACAGUCUCAUUCUGCCACCCAGGCUGGAGUACAAUGGCGCCAUCUCGGCUCACUGUAACCUCUGCCUCCUGGUUUCAAGCAAUUCUGCCUCAGCCUCCCAAGUAGCUGAGAUUACAGGCCCCCGCCACCACGCCUGGCUAAGUUUUUUGCAUUUUUAGGAGAGAUGGGGUUUUGCUGUGUUAGCCAGGCUGAUCUCAAACUCCUGACCCGCCUUUGCUUCCCAGAGUGCCAGGAUUACAGGCGUGAGCCACCACGCCCAGCCGACUAUGUAUUUUAAAAAUAUUUUCUCAGUUUUCUAAUAUGAAAAAUAUUGACAGAUAUAAUACUUUUUUUUAAAGUUCUUAGGGCUGGGCACAGUAGCUCAUGCCUGUAAUCCCAGCACUUUGGGAGGCCAAGGCGGGCAGAUCACGUGCAGGAGUUCAAGACCAGCCUGAUCAACAUGGUGUAUCCCCAUCUCUACAAAAUAUGCAAAAAAUAAUUAGCCGGGUGUGGUGGCACACACCUGUAAUCCCCGCUACUCAGGAGACAGGAGAAUUGCUUGAACCUGGAAGGCGGUUCGCUGGAAGGCAGUGAGCCGAGGUCGCACCACUGCACUCCAGUCUGGGCAACAGAGCGAGACUCUGUCUCAAAGAAAAAAAAAGGUUCUUUGGCGUCUUCGACAAUUUUUAAGAAUGUAAAAAGAUUCUGAGACCAAAAUAUUUAAGAAUCUGUGCCUUAGAGACUGUUAACAAAGCCCUCAUUGUUCAAAUGAGAAAUGGUCAUGAUGCUGACAUUUAGUGCUCUGGUACAUGUGGCUGGCCUUAUUGUAAGCACUUUACUUGAGGAUACUAUUAUGUCUUCAUGUUACUGAUAAGGCAAGUGAGGCACAGAGAGGUUAAAUUGACUUGCCCAAGGCCAUGUAGCUAGUCACUGGUGGAACCACAAUUUGAGGCCCUGAUGUUGGCUACAGUUUUCUGCCACUUCCAUGAAGUCUGGAAAGGGUCAGAAGGCCCAAAUGCCAUCUGGUUACUUCACCAGUUCUCUGUUAUCUAUCAAUCUCACAGUCACUAUGCAGGAGUCACUGAGGCCUCAAUUCUGCUUUGCAGUCUUCAUCCCAAAUUCUGCCACCCUGAAUGUUUUCAAGUAUGGCCUUACAAUUGGCCUUACAAGGCCUUGAUUUUUUUCAAAUCUGUGUGCACUUCCACUUCAACCACCCAUUCCUCUCUUGUGACCAUGCUCGAAACUCUAAUAAUCUGUCUUAUUGUAACUUCCUAUUUUUCAGUUUUCUUACUCUCUACCACUAAACCUUUUUUUUUUUUCUUUUAAUGUCCAGCGUCUUGCUGUGUCACCCAGGCUGGAGUGCAGUGGUGCGAUCAUGGUUCACUGCAACCUUGAACUCCUGGGCUCGAGCAAUCAUCUUUAUUUAUCAGUGGACACUGAGUAGCUGGGACUACAGGCGUGCACCACUGCACCCAGCUAAUUUUCUUAUUUUUUGUAGAGACAAGGGUCUCGCUUUGUUACCUAGGCCAGUCUUGAACUCCUGGCUUUAAGUGAUUCUUCCACCUCAGCCUCCCAAAGUGCUGGAAUUAAUAGGUAUGAGCCACCACGCCUGGCCUAAUCCUUGAUGUUUGCACUUGCUGUUAUGGUUUUUGUUUGUUUUUCUGAGACAGAGUCUUACUCUGUUGCCCAGGCUGGAGUGCAGUGGCCUGAUCUCAGCUCACUGCAACCUCCGCCUCCUGGGUUCAAGUGAUUCUCCUGCUUCAGCCUCCCGAGUAGCUGGGAAUACAGGCGCCUGCCACCACGCCCGGCUAAUUUUUAUGUUUUUAGUAGAGGCAGGGUUUCACCAUGUUGGCCAGGCUGGUCUUGAACUCCCCACCUCAAGUGAUCCAUCCGCCUCGGCCUCUCAAAAUGCUGGGAUUACAGGUGUAAGCCACCACGCCCAGCCGGUUUUUUCUUUUGUUUUUCCCUUUUUAACCCCAUUCUCUACCUUAUGCAACUGGUGCCCUGUGGUCAACUCAGACUUCUCAUUCAUGCCCUCAGCUCCUUAAACCCCUCAUCCUCAAACUCUACCAGCUUUGCAAGCUUCCAAGCCUGAAUUGCCUGACUCAGUUUAUCCCUGUGUGUAUCUGCUUGGGGUGUAGAAUAUAACAACUAAAAAUGAUAGAAGUGUACAGAUUGUGGCUGUUAUGAAUCUAGGGCAUUCAACUGCGGUUGGACCUCAGUGCCAUUGAGCAAUCUUUGUCUUUGGUCAGAACCCUCUUCUAUAAACAUUCACCACUUGGUUCCAACUGCUUACUCACCCACGUGCCUAAUAGAUAACCUCACCUCCUAAUUCACAGAGGGAGGAAAGUUCAAAAUGCAGGAACUUUCACUUCCCACUGUGAGCCUCCAAGGGAGUGUGUACAUCUGCAUCCUGCUGCCUCAUGCAUGGAGAUAGCCUUUCUGUUCAACCUGUCAUCUGUUAUGAUCCCACUUCAUCCCAUCAAUGGGAUCUUACUCCUUCAGCCACCCCCUUGGCACCUGUACUUUCAGCUGCUCAGCCUCUACUGGUCCGUUGCCCUCAGCCAAAAAACGCCCCUUCAACCCUGCACUCCUGGUUAUUACCCUAUUGUUUCUCUCUGUGGACAAUCUUCUUGAAAGAAUUGUCACUCCCCUUCCUCAGCUUAGAAACUGGUUUAUCUGAUUGCCUGACUUUUGGUGCUGUUGGUUACCCUCUCAUUUUCUGGGAUACCACUAUCAUCAUCUUCUCUUUCAUGUCUUUGCUGUUUUUGUAUCCCCUAUUGGAUUGAGCAAAGUCAUCAGCCUAGUCAAGUCACCCCCCAACAAGAUGAAACACAACAGUCAUCCUAGACUCCUUCCUCCCAUUUAUCUUCCAUAGCCAAUUGCCAAAUCCUGUGAUGUUUACCCAUUAAACAUCUGUCAAAUCAGUCCCUUUCUCUUUAUUCCCAUGGCCACCAAACCAUUCCAGGCUGCUAUCAUCUCUUCUCGAGAUGUGGAGUGAUCUUGGCUCCUCACUAUCAUACUCCCUUAUGUGGUCCUUUGUACUGACCUGAGCAAUAAUGAUGCUGAAGGCCCCACUGUUCGCUGCCAGCCCACAGAGAAGAAGUCUAUGCCAGAGAACGAGUGACCAGAAGAGGCUAUGCUCACAGAAGUCAGAGAAGCAGAGUCUUCAGGAAGGGAGAACAUCGGUGUCCACCAAGCAGAGAUACCUCAUGAGAUAGAUUGAAGUGUGGCCCCUGGAUUUCAGAAAUGGAUGUCAUCUGUCCAUGGAGGAGUAGGUAGUCCCCAAUAAAUACAUAUUUAUUGAGUCUUCUGGGUCCACUGAGGACACAAUCAUGAAAAAGAAAACUAUGUCCCCAUCCUGGAGGUGUUUACAUUCUGGUGACAAAACUAAUUGAAGCAGUUCUGAUUGAUGUUUUGAGAGCUUAUGAUAAGAAGCUUGGCAGAGGCCGGGCAUGGUGGCUCACACCUGUAAUCCCAGCACUUUGGGAGGCUGAGGCAGGUGGAUCACUUGAGGUCAGGAGUUGAAGACCAGCCUGGCCAACAUGUGAAACCCUGUCUCUACUAAAAAUAACAAAAAUUAGCUGGGCGUCAUGGCACACUCCUGUAAUCCCAGCUACUUGGGAGGCUGAGGCAGGAGGGUCACUUGAGCCCAGGAGCUGGAGGUUGCAGUGAGCCAAGACUGUGCCACCACUCAACAGAGUGAGACUCCGUCUCAAAAAAAAAAAAAAAAAAAAAAAAAAAAAAAGCUUGUCAGAGAAAUAAAUGAGAAAUUAAAAGAUGGUAAGUGGAGGCCCCAGAGUGAAGGGAAGUGUUUUUGGUUUUAGGAAUAGGAGAGUCUAGUGUGUUUAGAGGUUUAGGGGAAGGAUCCAGGAGAGGCAGCAGAGAACUGAAGGGUGUAUGUGUGUGUGGAGCAGGGAGGUGGGGGUGGUGAGGGUGGGAGAUGGAGGGGAGAAGGAGCCCAGAUAAAUUUAGCUUCCACCAGGAGCAGGAUGCCUCUUCCUCUGCUGGUGCUAUAGGAAGGUUGCCAAUGGGCCGGGUGCGGUGGCUCAUGCCUGUAAUCCUAGCACUUUGAGAGCCCAAGGUAGGUGUAUCACGAGGUCAGGAGUUCAAGACCAGCCUGGCCAGUAUGGUGAAACCCUGUCUCUACUAAGAAAAUACAAAAAUUGGCCAGUGACGGUGGCUCGCACCUGUAAUCCCAGCACUUUGGGAGGCCGAGGCGCGUAGAUCAGGAGGUCAGGAGGUCAGGAUUUCAAGACCAGCCUGGCCAAGAUGGUGAAACCCCAUCUCUACUAAAAAUACAAAAAUUAGCUGGGCAUGGUGGCUCGCGCCUGUAGUCCCAUCUACUCAGGAGGCUGAGGCAGGAGAAUCGCUUGAACCCGGGAGGUGGAGGUUGCAGUGAGCCGAGAUCGUGCCACUGCACUCCAGCCUGAGAGACAGAGUGAGACUCUGUCAAAAAAGAAAAAUUGCCAGUGGAGAUAAAGGUGUCCAUUUGGGUAGGUCAGGAAGCUGUGGUAUUCAUGCCUCAUGGCCUUCAUUUUCUUAGAGCGUAGGGUAAAAUCAUGCCAUUUUUUGCCUCUGUGCCUCAUAAGUUUGUACUCCUUCCUCCUUUAAAAAUCAGCUGUAAGAGCUGGAUGUGCUGUAAGGGCUGGACGUGGUGGCACAUGCCUGUAGUUCCUACUUGGGAAGCUGAGAUGGGAGGACCACUUGAGUCCGGGAGGUUGAGGCUGCAGUGAGCUAUGAUUGCACCACUGCUCUCCAGCCUGGGUGACAGAGCAACACCUUGUCUCUUGGGAAAAAAAAAAAAAAAAAAAAUCAGCUCCAGACCCCUGCCUUUGUGAACCUUUUCUUGAAGGAAAGAGUGUGGGUUGGGGCCACUUCCAGUGGAAUCACCAGGAGGGGAGUGGAGGGAGGAGGGAAGGUGCUCAGAAUAAACAUUCAAUGUCCCUGAGCAUUCCUAGAUCAACCGGAUCAGGAUCUCUGAAGGAUGGGGCUCAAAGAUUGGCAUUUGAAAGAACACCCGUGGGGAUCCUGAUGGUGCAAUAAAGUUGUAGAACCACCUCACUAAGUGCUCCCAAUUCCUUUUACAAUUCUCUAUUAUUGCAAUUUAAUCCUUUCACUUCCCCCACUGGGCUGCCCUUGGGCAGGAGUAGGUGUCUUUGUUUACAUACUUGUAGCACAGCCCUGCAGUUGGCUAUCAUAGUGGGCUUUGGGUGCUUAUUUGUGAAAUGAAUGAUGUGUACAAAACUGGAACCCAGAUGUCCUGAUUCCCAGACUCAUAAUUUGCUCUAUCACAUUUUAUCUCUAGAAGCUGCUGAAUUCCUCAGGAAGGCAUUUCCUGGUCCAACUGUGCCUAAAACUCAUAUGCCAAUUUAAAAAGCACAAAUCCACAUAGAAAGAUUCUCUGAAGAAGGAGACAGUGUAUGGGGGAUUGGUUGCUCUAAGGAAGAUUAGAAAAUGAGGUCACCUGAAAGUGAAGGGAGCGGGAUGCACACAAAGUAACAAGCCCCUGGAGCAGGUCUGUUCCAAGUGUGUCACCCAGGUCUCCCCCAAAAACCAUCAAGGAGUUAGAAACAUACUGUGGAAAAGAUCCCUAGAAUGUAACAGUUAAGAAGCUGGAUGCUCAGGAGGUAAUGAGUCAUAGAAUGCUUGUGUGUGGACUGCAUGGAAUCCAGAAAAGGGGAAGCCAUAGGUUAGAAAUUAUAGCGUCUCAGCUGGGCACGGUGGCUCACGCCUGUAAUCCUAGCUCUUUGGGAGGCUGAGGUGGGUGGAUCACCUGAGGUCAGGAGUUCGAGACCAGCCUAGCCAACAUGGCUUCACCGUCUCUACUGAAAAUACAAAAAUUAGCCAGCGUGGUGGCGGACGCCUAUAAUCCCAGCUAUUCAGGAGACUGAGGCAGGAGAAUCGCCUGAACCCGGUGGGGUGGAGGUUGCAGUGAGCCAAGAUCGCGCCACUUCAUUCCAGCCUGGGUGAAAAAGCAAAACUCUUGUCUCAAAAAAAAAAAAAAAAAAGAAGAAGCAAUUAGAAUUUAUAGAGUUGUUGUAAUAUCCAAAGGUAUAGAUGCUCUGAUACCACUGGGUAGUGCUGUUAAUUUAGAAAGAACUGGUCCAAAAGAAUGCGAAUUCAUCUUAGGAGAAAUGGGUGUUUCCACUAAGAACAGCUCAUCCCUUUUCUUUAAUCAUUUAGUAACUCUUUAUAGAUUACCUCCAAUGUGUCAGGGGCUGUAUUCACUGUGUCUUGCCGGAGAUAUGACAGUGGGCAAAACAGGUACAGGACGUACCCUUGAGAACUCACAGUAUUAUUCUUGUUUAUUCAUCAGGUUUCUAACCUGUAAUUUGAUAUGCUUUGUGGAUUUGCCUGGCACUCUGAGCAAAUGACCAAAACCAAUUAUUCUGCCAGGUAGGCCUCUGUUCUCACGUUAAUAACAUUCUAGUUGUGAGUCAUUUAUGACUUCGAUGAGAGAGUAUAAAACAAACAGUUCCAUUAGGGGUUGGUUUUUCCCUGGACAAAUGGGUACAGAGCUGGGCCUGCUGAUGAGCUCAGCAAGAAGUCCCCACCCUGGGAAGCCCUGCCAACUGCCAGCACCUUGUAUUCAGCAGGCUCUCAGCCACACACAGGCUAAGUCACAGCCCCUGGCCCCAUUAGGAAUGUGUGUAUCCUUUCCUGCCUGAAUGGCCCACUGAGAGGUCGUUGGGAAAAUUCUUGGAGCGUCGGAUUCCUGGAUGUCUUGAAUUCCAAAGAGCUUGAAUCAGCACAAAGCUUAGGGCCCAGGGCUGUAUUUUAAAGGAAGACGCAGCAGGGGCAGGUGAUGGUAAAUAGAGGAGAGUGAACAUGGCGGGAACAGACUUCAGGCUGCACCUGUGACUGAGGACAGCCCCCAAAUUCUUAGUUCUGAGAGAAACCCCUGAGGGCCAAAAACAGCAUGCUCAGUUCCUGGUAAUUCCUUAAAAACAGGCUUCUAUCAGACCUGGCUCUAAAAAAACAUUCACUCAGGCUGGAUCCAGGUUUGGGGCCCUGAGGCUUAUAUAUUUGGUACAGGCAACUCUUAAGAAAGAAGUGCAAAAUUAGAUAUAGGGCUUGGAAGCCCUGUUUGAGGAAGCCAGGGACCCUGAAGUGUAAGCUUCAGUAGUUUCACAGUAAAUCCACCUAUGUGUUCAUGCUGGAGAGUAAAAAUAUCCCAUGUCUGUGAUCCCAAAGGAUCAGAGGGCUCUCUGGAUGCUUAGAGGAAGGAAGGAAGCAGGGAUGAGAGCAACUUCAAUGUUUUAAUUCAUUGAUCUUAUUAAUAAAUCACAUUCCCAGCCGGGCGCGGUGGCUCAUGCCUGUAAUCCCAACACUUUGGGAGGCCGAGGCGGGCGGAUCACAAGGUCAGGAGAUCGAGACCAUCCCGGCUAACAUGCUGAAACCCCGUCUCUACUAAAAAUACAAAAAAAAAAAAAAAAAAAAAAUUAGCCGGGCGGGGUGGUGGGUGCCUGUAGUCCCAGCUACUGGCUGAGCCUGGAGAUUGGCAUGAACCCAGGAGGCGGAGCUCGCAGUGAGCCAUGAUCGCGCCACUGCACUCCAGCCUGGGCGACAGAGCGAGACUCCGUCUCAAAAAAUAAAAAUAAAAAAUAAAUCACAUUCCCUUUUCUUCAUCCCUUACAUUCAGUUAAAGGUUUAAAUGCUAGACUUGGCCAGGCAUGGUGACACACGCCUGUAAUCCCAGCACUUUGGGAAGCCAAGGCGGGUGGAUCACUUGAGCCAGGACUUCGAGACCAGCCUGGGCAACAUGGCGAAACCCCAUCUCUACAAAAAAAAAAAUACAAAAAAAUUAACCUGGUGUGGUGCUGCAUGUCUGUAGUCGCAGCUACUUGGUAGGCUAAGGCGGGAGGACCACUUGAGCCCAGGAGGUCGAGGCUGCAGUGAGCCAUGAUUGUGUCACCGCACAACAGCCUGGAUGACAGAGCAAGACCCUGUCUCAAAAAAAAAAAAGUAGAUUCUGAGCUACUCGAGGACAGCAAUCAUAUCUUAUUUGUCUUUGAAUCCCAAGUACUUUGCAAAUAGCAUUUGUUGAAUGGAUGAAUGAAUGAGUGAGUGAGUGAGUGAGUGAGUGAGUGAGUGAGUGAGUGAAUUCUCCCAGGAACUGAGACCUGAUAGUCAUAUAUUCCCCUCUCCCUUCCUCUUGACUGCUCCGGCAGGUGGCAUAGACUAAUCAUGAACUCUGGAGUAAGACCUGAGUUGAAUCCCAGCUUUGCCACAUACCAUCAGGGUGACCCUGGGAAAGUUACCCAACAUCUCUCAGCCUCAGUUUCUUUAGAAGGGAGCCAAUAAUACUUCCCCUCAAGGUUGCAGUGAGAAUCAGUAAUAAAGUGCCUGGUAUGUCACAGUUCUCAACAAAUGUUGACUAUUGUAUUAUUACUUUAGGUCUGGGGUAGGCAAACCAGGCCAUGGGCCAAAUCUGGCCCCCCGCCACCAUUUUUGUAAAUAAAGUUUUAUUGGAACACAGGGAACACAGUCAUGCCUAUUUGUUACUUUUUUUUUUUUUUAAACAGAGUCUCUGUCAUCCAGGCUGGAUUGCAGGGGUGCCGUCUCAGCUUACUGCAACCUCCACCUCCCGGGUUCAAGCAAUUCUUCUGCCUCAGCCUCCUGAGUAGCUGGGAUUAUAGGCAUGCACCACCAGGCCUAGCUAAUUUUUCUUUUUUUUUUUUUUUUCUUUUUUUGCAAUGGAGUUUCGCUCUUGUUGCCCAGGCUGGAGUGCAAUGGCACGAUCUCGGCUCACCACAACCUCUGCCUCCUGGGUUCAAGCAAUUCUUCUGCCUCAGCCUCCUGAGUAGCUGGAACUACAAGCGCAUGCCACCAUGCCCAGCUUAUUUUGGUAUUUUUAGUAGAGACAGGGUUUCACCAUAUUGUCCAGGCUGGUCUCAAACUCCUGACCUCAGGUGAUCUGCCCACCUCAGCCUCCCAAAGUGCUGGGAUUACAGGUGUGAGCCACCGCGCCCAGCCCUAAUUUUGUAUUUUUAGUAGAGACUGGGUUUCUCCAUGUUGGUCAGGCUGGUCUCGAACUCCUGACCUCCGGUGAUCCACUCGCCUUGGCCUCCCAAAGUGCUGGGAUUACAGGUGUGAGCCACCUCACCCAGCCUGUUACUUCUUAUCCAUGGCUACUUUUGUGCUACAAUAGCAUAGUUAAAAAAUUGAUACAGAGACCUUAUGGCAUGCAAAGACUAAAAUAUUUACCACAGAAAAAGUUUGUCAACCACAUACCAUCAGGGUGACCCUGGGAGAGUUACCCAACAUCUUUCUGGCCCUACAGAAAAAGUUUGUCAACUUCUGAUUUAGGCCUUUAUCACUUUACUCUCAACUUGUAGUUGUCUCCUAACUGGUCCCCAAGCCUCUCGUCUUUCUCCCAUUCUGUUCUUUCUCUACUCUGUGGCCAGUUGUUUCUUUUCUUUUCUUUUUUUUUUUUGAGACAGAGUCUCGCUGUGUCGCCCACACUGGAGUUCAGUGGCCCAAUCUUGAUUCACCGCAAGCUCUGCCUCCCAGGUUCAAGCAAUUCUCAUGCCUCAGCCUCCCGAGUAGCUGGGAUUACAGAUGGGUGCCACCACACCCAGCUAAUUUUUGUAUUUUUAGUAGAGACAGGGUUUCACCAUGUUGGCCAGGCUGGUCUAGAACUCCUGACCUCAGAAUGAUCCUCCAGACUCAGCCUCCCAAAGUGCUAGGAUUACAGGUGUCAACCACCAUGCCCUGCCCUUCUUUUUCUUGUUUUUUUUUAGAUGUGGUGUCUCUAAAAAGCCAUUGCGGCCAAACUUUUUUGUUUUUUUUGUGUUGUGUUUUUUGAAAUAGUGUCUCUUUCUGUCACCCAGGCUGGAGUGCAGUGGCAUGAUCAUGGCUCACUGCAGCCCCAGACUCCUGGGCUCAAACAAUCCUCCCACCUCAGCCACAGGAAUAGUUGGGACUACAGGCACACAUCACCACACCCAGCUGAUUACUUUUUUUUUUUUUUUUGAGACGGGGUCUUGCUCUAUCGGCUAGGCUAGAGUGCAGUGGCGUGAUCUUGGCUCACUACAACCUCCACCUCCUGGGUUCAAGCAAUUUCUCUGCCUCAGCCUCCCAAGUAGCUGGGACUACAGAUGCCUGCCACCAUGCCUGGCUAAUUUUUGUAUUUUUAGCAGAGAUGGGGUUUCACCAUAUUGUCCAGGCUGGUCUUGAACUCCUGACCUUGUGAUCCACCCGCCUCGGCCUCCCAAAGUGCUGGGAUUACAGGCGUCAGCCACUGCGCCUGGCCCCAAUUUUUUUUUUUUUUUUGUAGAGACGAAGUCUCACUAUGUUGCCGAGGCUGAUCUUGAACUCCUGGGCUCCAGCAAUCUGCCUGCCUUGGCCUUCCGAAGUGCUGGGAUUGCAAGCAUGAGCCACUGUGUCCAACCCAGAUGGACACUUUGGAUAGAGUCUACUAGGCUUGCCUUUAGCUUUCUGCUGUCCUGUCGUCUCAUCGCAUCCUGUUAUGUAGUCCAUAGCUCACUUCAUUCCAGGGGGCAGGUUGAAAGCAGACUCAGCUGUUUGUCCUGGGCUGAUCCCUGAGUUCAUGUUGCUGUUUCCCAUAACUUCGCUUUAUAAUCUGGCACCAGGGAGCCAGUGGCCAGGGACAGUCAGUGAGCUUACAUGUUUUCUUGGAAAUCAUCACCCAUCCCUGGGCUUGGCCUUUAGUUUUCGUCUUGCGGUCCUGUCUUGCUGUCUUCAUUGCUUGCCCUGUAGAUUGGAUUUUUGACUCUGAGUACCUGGAGCAUUUGAUCCUGCCUUUGUUCUCCUAGGCACUGAUCCAUCAGAACUCAGGGAAAACACAGGCUUAGAAAUCAACACUGGCAUCAUCCCUGCACUGCAUGGCCAGAUCUGUGCCUCACUCCACAUAUCUUGGCCCCAGUAUGAUUUCAUGUACAUUCCCAAGAACUUUUGAUGUAGACCUGGAUUAUAGCUACUAUGUUUUAUUGGGAUUCGGUGUUGUAGCAUGGGGUGUUGACAUUGUCCCUUUUUGGGAACCCACCCCCAACUCCAAUUUCUUUACCAAUCCCAGUCUGCAACCUAAUUCCUGAUUUUGAGCUUCAACUUGUUCUUCUGUUUUUGGAUACUGUCCCAGACUAUUUUCUAUCAGUGUUCUGAGUUUUCUUGAGUUUUUUGAACCGAGUACCUGUGCUCUCUCUCUCUGCACCACUGCUGCCACCAUCCUAGUGCUGAGGCCAACUCUCAGAACUCAAAUGGGCAGACAUCAGGGAUCACGGGUCCAGAAGUAUAAAUAGUGGCUCAUCUCACACAAUAGAGUUCAUUCACUCAUGGAAAGCACUUAGCGUAGUAUCUGGCCCAGAGUAAGUCUAUAUAAGCAUUACUGAUAAUUAGGAUGUGCCAAAAUGAAGCACAUACUCUCUCUUAUACAGGGAGAUCUUUGGGGUAAAAAAUGAAGGCAAAUCACCAAGGAAUGUGGUUCAUUGGCAUAAUAAUAUGUAAUUUUUUUUUUUUUUUGAGACGGAGUUUCGCUCUUGUUGCCCAGGCUGGAGUGCAGUGGCACAAUCUUGGCUCUCCGCCUCCCGGGUUCAAGCAAUUCUCUUGCCUCGGCCUCCCAAGUAGUUAGGAUUACAGGCAUGUGCCACCACACCUGGCUAAUAAUAUGUAGCUUUUUAAAAAUUAUUAUUAUUAUUUUUUUUAAGACGGUCUCACUUUGUCACCCGGGCUGGAGUGCAAGUGGCUCAAUCACAGCUCACUGCAGCCUUGACCUCCUGGGCUCAAGCAAGCCUUCCACCUCAGCCUCCUGAGUAGUUGGAACUACAGGCGAGUGCCACCACAUCCGGCUAAUUUAAAAAAUUUUUUUGUAGAGGUGACGUCUUGCUAUGUUACUCAGGCUGGUCUCAGACUCCUGGGCUCAAGCAGUCCUCCUGCCUUGGCCUCCCAAAGUACUGGGAUUACAGGCACGAGCCACUGUUCCCAGCCUAAUCUGUAGUUUUUAAAGAAAUGUUAUUCACAUACUAUAAAAUUCACACUCUUCUAAAGGUUUUUAGUAUAUUAACAAAGUUAUGUAACCAUCCCCGCUAUCUAAUUCUAGAACAUUUUCAUCAGCCUAUACCCAUUCGCAGUCAUUUCCCGUUUCUCCCACCCUCGGUCUCAGGCUGCCAUGAAUCUACUUUCAGUGUCCAUGGAUUUGCCUAUUCUGGACAUUCCAUGAAAACGGAAUCAUAUAUACUAUGUGGCCUUUUGUUUCUGGGUUUUUUUUUUUUUUUUUUGAGAUGGAGUCUCGCUCUGUCGCGCAGGCUGGAGUGCAGUGGUACGAUCUUGGCUCACUGCAACCUCUGCCUCCCGGGUUCAAACGAUUCUCCUGCUUCAUCCUCCUGAGUAGCUGGGAUAACAGGCACACACCACCAUGACUGGCUAAUUUGUGUACUUUUUUAAAAUAGAGAUGGGGUUUCACCAUGUUGGCCAGGCUGGUCUCGAACUCCUGACCUCAGGUGAUCUGCCCGCCUUGGCCUCCCAAAGUGCUGGGAUUACAGGCAUGAGCCACUGCGCCAGGCCUUGUGUCUGUUCUUUCACUUAGCACAACGUCCUUAAGGUUCAUCCAUGUUGGAGCAUGUCUCAGUACAUCUCAUGGCUGCAUAAUAUAGCCUAUUGUAUGGAUAUACCACAUUGUGUUCAGCCAUUCAUCAGUUGAUGAGCAUUUGUGUUGUUUCUACUUUUGGCUAUUGUGAAUAGUGCUGCUAUGAACAUUUGUGUACCAGUUUUAUGUGGACACUUGUUUUCAUUUCUCUUGGGUGUAUACCUAGGAGUGGAAUUGCUGGGGUAUAUGGUACCUCUGUUUAACUUUUUGAGAAAUUGCCAAAUUGUUUUCCACAGCAGCUGCACUGUUUUACAUUCCUACCUUCAGUGGAUGAGGGCUUCAAUUUCUACACACAUCCUUAUUGACACUUGUUAUGGUCCCUCUUUUUAUUAUAUCCAUUCUAGUGGAUAUGGAGUAGUAUCUCGUGGUUGUGAUUUGCACUUCUCUAAUAACUAAUAAUGUUGAGCAUCUUUUCUUUUCUUUCUUUCUUUUUCUUUUUUCUUUUUUGAGAUGGAGUCUCGCUCUGUUGCCCAGGCUGGAGUGCAGUGGCACAGUCUCAGGUCACUGCAACCUCCAACUCCUGAGUUAAAGCGAUUCUUUUGCCUCAGCCUCCCGAGUAGCUGGAAUUACAGGUGCCUGCCACCAUGCCUGGCUAAUUUUUUUGUAUUUUUAGUAGAGACAGGGUUUUGCCAUGUUGGCCACGCUGGUCUUGAACUCCUGACCUCAGGUGAUCUGCCCGCCUCGGCCUCCAAAGUGCUGGGAUUGUAGGCAAGAGCCAUCACGCCCAGUUGAGCAUCUUUUCUUGUGCUUAUUGGCCACUUGUAUAUCUUCUUGGGAAAAAUAUCUAUAGCAAUAUAUAACUUUACACACAAAUAUCCAUCUUUUCUAGUACAGUCUGAGACUGUGCAGGAGGUCUGACAAUUGCUUCUUCAGUUACCAUCAGUGGUUAGAGUGGAGGGGACAUAUCCCGAGACAUGCUUGGAGGAGAAGGAAACUGUGUUGGUUGAUAUUUUUCCUCAAAGUUGCUUCUCUUGACUGUCAGGUGGCAUAUGACUGUGGGGAUUAAAUUGAGUACUGAAUAUGGGCAGUGUGAUAUUCAGCAGCUCACACUGGUUCAGUGAUAUCAAUUAUUUAAGUCCUGCAUCUGGCCGAGUGCAGUGGCUCAUGCCUGUAAUCCCAGCAUUACGGAGGCCGAGGUGGGAGAAUCACUUGAGUCUGGGAGGUCGAGGCUGUAGUGAGCCAUGAUUGCACCACUAUACUCCCGCCUGUGUAAAAGAGCAAGUCUGUGUCUCAAAAAAAAAAAAAAAAAGGAAGAAAGAAAGGAAGAGAAGGAGGAAGGGAAAGGAAGGGAGGGAGGGAGGAAGGAAGGAAGAAAGGGCCGGGCGCGGUGGCUCACGCCUGUAAUCCCAGCACUUUGGGAGGCCGAGACGGGCGGAUCACGAGGUCAGGAGAUCGAGACCAUCCUGGCUAACACGGUGAAACCCUGUCUCUACUAAAAAUACAAAAAUUAGCCGGGCAUGGUGGCGCGUGCCUAUAGUCCCAGCUACACGGGAGGCUGAGGCAGGAGAAUGGCGUGAACCCGGGAGGCGGAGCUUGCAGUGAGUCGAGAUCGCGCCACUGCACUCCAGCCUGGGCGACAGAGCGAAACUCCGUCUCAAAAAGAAAAAAAAAAAAAAAAAAAAAAGGAAGAAAGGAAGGAAGGAAAGAAGGAAAGAAAGAAAAACACAAAAGUUCUUCAUCUGUUCUGAUUGGCUGAUGUCUGAGCCAUAAUCCUUAUUGAACAUUUGGAAUACCAUGCCUGCCUAUACAAUAUCAAGCACUUGUGCCUGGCAAAUGCUUGGUAAUUGCUACUUUCCUUUCUUUCUUUCUUUCCUUCUUUCCUUCCUUCCUUUCUUUCCCUUCCCUUUCCUUCCCCCUCCCUCCCUCCUUUCCUUCCUGCCUCCCUCCCUUCCUCCCUUCCUUCCUCUCUCUCUUUCUCUCUCUCUUUUCUUUUUUUUUCUUUUCUGAAACGGAGUUUUGCUCUUAUUGCCCAGGCUGGAGUGCAAUGGCACGAUCUCGGCUCACUGCAACCUCUGCCUUCCGGGUUCAAGCGAUUCUCCUGCCUCAGCCUCCUGAGUAGCUGGGAUUACAGGCGCCCGCCACCAUCUAAUUUUCUGUAUUUUAAAUAGAGACAGGGUUUCACUAUGUUGGUCAGGCUGGUCUCAAACUCCUGACCUCAGGCGAUCCACCUGCCUCAGCCUCCCAAACUGCUGGGAUUACAGGUGUGAGCCACCACGUCCGGCCUCUCUCUUUCUUUUCUUUUUUUCGACAGGGUCUCACUCUGUUGCCCAGGCUGGAGCACAGAGGUAUGAUCAUGGCUCAUUGCAGCCUUGAACUGCUGGACUCAAGCAAUCCUCCUGCCUCAGCUUCCCGAGUAGCCGGGAUUACUUACAAGCAUGUGCCACUGUGCCCAGCUAAUGUUUAAAAUGAUAUCUUUCCCUUUACUUUUGGGCUCCUUUAUGUCACUCCAUCACUGACAGUAGGCCAUCCACGGCUCGUAUCUAUGUUUCACUGUUCUGCAUCCCUGAAUUUUCACCUCAUCCUGGAUCCUGAAGCCUGCUUUGAUGCUCUUUGGUGAGUGUUCUGGUUCUUUAUUAUGAAAAUGAGAUUUUUCUGUACAGCCCUUUGCCUUGGCAACUUUGGCAAUUGCUCCUAUUUCCAAAGUUGCCCCUGGAGCCACAAUGUCUAUUAAUGUGAGGGUCCACUCUUAAAGGAAACAUUUCUGUACGGAUACAUUGGGUUCACACUUACUAAUGUUCUCACUCACUGAUAGCCGUGGUGGCCAUCAACUGAUGUAAAUGUUUUUUUUUCUUUUUUUUUUUUUUUGAGACAGAGUCUCGCACUGUCACCCAGGCUGGAGUGCAGUGGCGUGAUCUCGGCUCACUGCAACCUCUGCCUCCCAGGUUCAAGCGAUUCUCCUGCCUCAGCCACCCGAGUAGCUUGGAUUACAGGCGCGCACCACCAGGGCCAGCUAAUUUUUGUAUUUUUAGUAGAGAUGGGGUUUCACAAUGUUGGCCAGGAUGGUCUUGAUCUCUUGACCUCGUGAUCUGCCCGCCUCAGCUUCCCAAAGUGCUGGGAUUACAGGCGUGAGCCACCGGCGCCCAACCAACUUAUGUAAAUGUUGAAAACGAAAGUGUUAAUUUUGAGAUUGUUUGCUAAUGCUGAACAAAUGGAAACAAUUUAAAUGUUAUUAACAGGGACUGGCUAAAUAAAGCAUGAUACAGCCAUAUAUUGCACAGGUUGGCAUACUUUUUCUGUAACGAGCUAGAUAGUAAACUCUCCGGGCAUUGUAGGCCACAGUCUCUGAUGCAACCUUUCAAUUCUGCUACUAUAGUGCAAAAGCAGGCUGAGACUCUAUGGAAAGGAAUAGGCAUGGCUAUGUUCCCAUACAACUUCUUUUAGGUGCUGGGCCAUAUUUGGUCUAGAGGCCAUACUUUGCUGACCCUAAUAUAAUAAGUCUUACUAUGUGACCAUUAAAAAGAACCAAAUAGAAUUAUAUGUACUGACAAAGAUAUCCAUCAAGUUGUUUUUUUGUUUUGUUUUGUUGAGAUGGAGUCUCGCUCUUGUUGCCCAGGCUGGAGUGCAAUGGCGUGAUCUCAGCUCACUGCAACCUCCGCCUCCCAGGUUCAAGUGAUUUUCCAGACAGCCUCCUGAGUAGCUGGGAUUACAGGCGUGCGCCACUAC